Erpetoichthys calabaricus (reedfish) is the source of this 477-nucleotide long non-coding RNA. RefSeq lists it as uncharacterized. The transcript is spliced from 3 exons. The record is from RefSeq and is a predicted model, not a curated record. Lineage: Eukaryota; Metazoa; Chordata; Cladistia; Polypteriformes; Polypteridae.
CGGACCGCUCGCGAGUCUUGGUAAAUCGGAGCUAGAGUGCUGGUUAUCGGGUUAUUGGAGAGCUACACAUAAUGAACAGCUUAUAGGUCAAGUGGAAACAAAGACCCUUCCCAGGAACACUGGGUGACAGGCAGAUAACAGCCUGAAUGGAAAGUCUGCCUGUUGCAGAAAAUGCUUACACAUACAGUAUGCAUAUAAACAGAAAGAGAAACAGAGAGAAGGAUGUCUCAGCUUUAUGCUAGUCUGCCCAGAGAUGUUUGGAUUAUAACUGGAAACCCAUGCUCACUACACACAAAGAUGUAAAAUGGAAAGCUGUACACGUUGUCAGCUUGUGUCACCAUGCUGCCCAAUAACUCAGGACAACUUCCAUCUUCUGCUGACCAAACCUUGACUUGGGCAUCCAUCCCACCACUUAGAAUUACCACUCCUGAAGGAAAGAACCUGCAGCAAUUGACAUCAUAUAUGUGGCCGGAUAGA